AGUACAACGGAGGCACCUGGGCUGUCGCUGACCUUAAAGGACGUGCACGCCCGGAGUGCUCUCUCACAUCCAUCUCACCCCUUUGUGCAUCACCGCGNGNGGCCCUCUCCUUUGGCUUGUUCCGGGGAGGGGGGUUUCACGUUUUUACACGAACAACCCAUUAAUGCAUGUGUAGAAUGUCUUACUUAUUUUAAAUACAACUUUCAACAACGGAUCUCUUGGCUCUCGCAUCGAUGANNNAANGCAGCGAAAUGCGAUACGUAAUGUGAAUUGCAGAAUUCAGUGAAUCAUCGAAUCUUUGAAACGCACCUUGCGCCCCUUGGUAUUCCGAGGGGUGCACCCGUUUGAGUGUCGUGAACACCCUCAACCUUCUUGGUUUAUCGACCGGGAAGGAUUGGACUUUGGAGGUUUUUGUUGCUGGCNUCGNUUGAAGCCAGCUCCUCCUAAAUGAAUUAGUGGGGUCCGCCGUGCCGAUCCUCGACGUGAUAAGUACGCUUCUACGUCUUGGGGUUUCGCACCGUUCUCGCUUCCAACUUCGAGNUGUGACUCGACCUUAUAAACCUUGACCUCAAAUCGGGUG
This 580-nucleotide ribosomal RNA is filed under the name uncultured Russula. Its description in RNAcentral is "eukaryotic LSU rRNA". The stretch from base 199 to 354 matches the Rfam family "5.8S ribosomal RNA". The record is from RNAcentral. Lineage: Eukaryota; Fungi; Basidiomycota; Agaricomycetes; Russulales; Russulaceae.